RNAcentral lists this ribosomal RNA (263 nucleotides) under uncultured bacterium. RNAcentral's name for it is "partial 16S ribosomal RNA". It matches the Rfam family "Bacterial small subunit ribosomal RNA", at positions 29 to 289 of the family's 1533-position model. The record is from RNAcentral.
AUUAACGCUAGCGGCAGGCAUAAUACAUGCAAGUUGAACGGCAGCACAGGUAGCAAUACCGGGUGGCGAGUGGCGCACGGGUGCGUAACACGUAUGCAACCUACCCUAUACAGGCGAAUAACCUUUAGAAAUGAGGGCUAAUACGCCGUGGUAUUAUCUUGGGGCAUCUUGAGAUAAUUAAAGAUUUAUCGGUAUAGGAUGGGCAUGCGUCCCAUUAGUCAGUUGGUAGGGUAACGGCCUACCAAGGCUAUGAUGGGUAGGGG